Frieseomelitta varia is the source of this 1892-nucleotide long non-coding RNA. RefSeq lists it as uncharacterized. NCBI's taxonomy places the organism in Eukaryota, Metazoa, Arthropoda, Insecta, Hymenoptera, Apidae. The transcript is spliced from 3 exons. The record is from RefSeq and is a predicted model, not a curated record.
GAUAUAUUUUUCCAGUUUAUUUUCCAUGAUCUUUGCGUCGAUUGAUUUGACAUCAUAUUAGGAUAUGUUGUGUUUAACAAAGAGAUAAAGAAAAUGUAAAUGUUGGUCCCGAUGCAUGUCAUUGUUGGAAGGAGGAUACCCUUUUGAUAAUUUUUUUUUUUUAUUUUUUAACCUUUCUGGUUUUAUCGAAACGAAGGAAAGAUCAGACAGAAGAAAUAAUUGAAUAAUUUUUAUUUGGCAAGUCGAAGAUGACACGAGCGAAGGAAGGCGUAUAACCUUUCGAAUAGCAGCCGGGCUCAUAUUUAUGAUGAAAUCGGGUCAGUGUCGACCCAAGGCUAAUGACUUGUAUGUCCUAAAUAGGCAAUAACAUGUAUCGUGCGUUUGCAUUAAUUUUUGGAUGAACAACGUUUGGGAAACAAUUUAAGGAAUUUUUAUAACCGAAUCAGAUAUGUACAUAAGUGAUUGAUAAUACAAAGAAAAAAAAAAAUUUUUACAAUUACAAUUUUUAGAAAAGAUUCAUAAAUUCGUAGCAAAAAUUAUUUUUAGAAGAAGCAAAUUCUUUUGCAAUUAAUUUCGAACACGCUUAUGUCACAGAACAAUCUGAUUUUUUAAACUAAAAGUCUGUGGAAUUCGACCGGACAUUCUUGACGUUCAUGGUUGCUCGCUGUCGACGAAUAUUAAUUCCUGGUUGUGACGUCAAUACAUAUGCCUGAAAGACAGAUUUCCAAGUAACAACAUACAUCUUUUGACUGUCGACCUCUUACUUGAUGAAAGAAAAGGGAAUAAUUACUCCAUACAGAACAGGACCCAAUCGGGAACCUAUGUCAAGCACAAACUUCCCUUGUAAACUUGGUAAAAUGCUGUGAAAUAUAUACAGCACAGCAGACAGUGACAAUGAGUGCGAGAUAAUAUCUAAAAGCAAAUCCACUUCGUCUUAAUAGAAGCAAUGAUCAAAGAGACAUCGCAUAAUUUCGUUUGCAAUGCAAUAUGAAAUGUAAAAACAGUUAGAGAGAUUAAAGCUUUCCUUACUAUAUUGCCUCACAUUUUCAGACAAACAGUCAGCACAAUAUAUGUUAACCACCUCCCCAUUUUCUAUAAGUUCAUCUAGCUUUCUAUUGUCGUAGAGAAACGCGUCGACGUGUUUCGUUGACUCCUUGUCGCAAUCCGAGUUCUGCAGAAUUACACAACUUGAGACAUUUCUUUCUCAUAAGAGAACACUUGAAGAAUUGAAAUAUACAUAGCUCUACUUGUUUGCACAAAAUAUCAGACCUCGCCGAUCGUUGGUGGUAGAAUUUCUUCCAACGGAAACGUUCCAUCCAUUGGUACUCGUUUUCUAAUGUCGUUGGCGAUCAUUUUUAUAAUUUUUACUUGUUUAUCUUCUACAGUACAUUCCGAAGACUCCUGCAUCGUAUCCCCCGUGAAAGGCUGUGACUUUAUUUGCUCUGGUUUCCAUUUAUCAGCGAUGUACGACAAAAACACAUUUUUAUCGGUGACACUUAAAGAACACAUGACAGACGUAAAUAUUUUUAUAGCAUUAUCUAUGGUGAUAGUAUCGACGGUAUCCAUUAUGUAAUCUCUUCGCUUAAUUAUAGGUUAUGUCGACAAUUUUAUAUUCGAGGUUCUCACACUGGAAACAAUCAGACGUUAAUCGAGGCGGGUCCGGAUGUUCGUUUCAGCGUGUUUAUUAGAAAAAAAAAAAAAAUUAAGUACACAAAAUGUCGAUACGCAUACAUAGGUGUAUAUAAAUAAUUAGCCUUAACGCUAACGGUUUUGCAUAGGCAAGAUAUAAGGCACAAAGUAUGUUUCAUCUUCGUUUCAAAUUCAACCUUUCCUAAUAUAUAUACAAGACACUCGUCCUCGUCUCUGUUUGUAAAUUUCGAUUUCUGUUUCUU